AUAAAAACUCCAUGUUUAUCUUCUUUAGGGCAUUAGAGUACUUCUCCCAUCUCUCUAGACUACGUAUAUUAACUCUGAGCUCACUCAGAAGACAAGAAGGAUUUUAAAAGCAUUGGCAUCUCUGCAAAUAAGAAAAAAGUACAAGGGAAAGACAAGAACAGACCAGGAAAUGGACACAUGCAACAAGUCUCAGUUUGGAAAGAGGAAAAAUUCCUAGCAACCUUUGCCAGAGAUUCCAUAUCACCUUGCAAUAGAAAUAGGACAGUCAGGAAACCUAAGUAGGUAAUGUGAUUAUAUGGUCUGUGCAUUCCAAUUCUAUAUUCCAUCU
Molecule: long non-coding RNA, 328 nt
Filed under: Coturnix japonica (Japanese quail)
Lineage: Eukaryota; Metazoa; Chordata; Aves; Galliformes; Phasianidae
Description: lncRNA (ENSCJPG00005017002.1)
Source: RNAcentral